AACACCAUCAAAGUUGUCCCGUAUUUGUAUAAAGACACCUUAACUUUUAAAGUGUCUUAUCACCCCCAUGAACUGUUUAAUUUCUUUGUAAAUGGAUCAUUUUGACUCAUUCUCAAGUCUGGGUUGUUACCACGCACAUGAGGCACGUCAUGCAGUAUUUUUACUGCCAUAUACCAGUUUAAAGGACAAAGCUGCAGCCGCUAUCGAAGAAGCUUGAUCUCCUGGUUGAUCUUGCUAGACAAUAAUGGCUCUCUUUAUGGUGACCUGAAACGAGUUUAUCACUGAAAAUUAAUGUGAAGGUGGGAGGAAGAAACUCUGUGUUAGUUGAUGCAAUAUCUAGGCAGAUCCCCCUUGGGGCGCUACUUAGAUCUGGAAAUAUUAGUGCAGAUAUGAGUUUUGCUACCAAAAGGGUUGCAACUAAAAGCAAUUUCACAUUCAAAAUUUUCUUGUCACCUAACUCCAUAGUUGAAUAGAAAAACCCGAAUGAAGAAAAAUUAAUGGAAGUUUUUUUGAAGGUGCAUGCCAAACUAAGAAGAAAAGGAAAGGAGAAGAUGACUUUUCUUCAAAGAAUAUGGUCGGGUCGGGUUGAAUUAUAUCAUAAGAAGUUGAGCAACACGCACCAUUACAUAGACUAGGGAAUGGGUCAAAAUGGUCCAUUUACAAAGAAAUUAAAUAGUUAUGUGGGGUGAUAAGACACUUUAAAAGUUAAAGUGUCUUUAUGCAAAUACGGAACAACUUUGAUGGUGUACAUCAGUUAGAUUAUCUAGUACAUCCCUAAUCACACCGAUUACAGUACGUGCCUCAUUUUGUUGAUUUCUACGUCGCGUCCAUUUACGUGCAAGAGCAGUUGAAGCCUCAAGUUGAUUGGUCCUUAGAGGCUUUGGCAAUGGUUGCAGGGGAAUAACUCUUUCCCAUGCCCAAAUCUACAAUAAAUAAAUUCACUAUUACUUAUAAUGCACUUAAAUUUAAAAGUGCAUAUUACUAGUAUAUAAAAAGAUAUUUAAUUAAAAAAUAUGUAUACCUGCACUAAAGAGAAAAAUCCACAAACUUCAAUUGAUUUUUUCAUUGAUGCACGGCAUAAACAAUUAUACAAAUAUGAUAAUGCGGUUGCUCCC
Long non-coding RNA from Solanum pennellii, 1115 nucleotides. RefSeq lists it as uncharacterized. The record is from RefSeq and is a predicted model, not a curated record. Lineage: Eukaryota; Viridiplantae; Streptophyta; Magnoliopsida; Solanales; Solanaceae. The transcript is spliced from 2 exons.